UUUGUUUAUACAGACGAGGUUCAUCAGGCUAAUGAUUAAUAGGGAUAGUUGGGGGCAUUAAUAUUUAAUUGUCAGAGGUGAAAUUCUUGGAUUUAUGAAAGAUUAACUUCU
RNAcentral lists this ribosomal RNA (111 nucleotides) under Acanthamoeba sp. TWST7. RNAcentral's name for it is "partial 18S ribosomal RNA". The stretch from base 23 to 111 matches the Rfam family "Eukaryotic small subunit ribosomal RNA", at positions 856 to 944 of the family's 1831-position model. The record is from RNAcentral. Lineage: Eukaryota; Discosea; Longamoebia; Acanthamoebidae.